UAAUCUCAAACCGACGCCCGCACUUUCCACCUUUUAUACCAAACUAUAACAAACAAACGCUCUCUCUCUAUAUUUUUGUGUUUGGGAAUCAGUGAGUUUGUUGGAGAAAUGCAGGCGAGGUGGGAGUCAUCACAGUCUCCGAGUUUCAAUAGUUACUCUAAUAAGAAUUUGGCUGAAAUUGCUGAUAGAGUUGUGCAAGAGUUCCGGGCUGAAAAUGGAACAGAUGAGGAAUUUUUGUUGAUGAUGAUGGAGGUUUGAGUUGCUUUGAGAGUGGAGGAAGAUUGAAUGAGAAAGAGGAGGAACAAGGAAAUGAAGAUGAAGAUGAAUUUGAGUUUUCAUUUGUAAAACAGUCUGAAAUUUCACCUGUUGCGGCUGAUGAAAUCUUCUAUAAUGGACAGAUCCGUCCAAUUUACCCGCUUUUCAAUAGGGAUUUAUUGUCGGAUUUCAUGAAUGGUAGAUCUAAUUCGAAUUCAACGUCGGAGGAGAUUUCUUCUGCUGGACCGAAAUCAAUUAGGCUUCCGUUACGGAAGCUUUUCAUGGAAGAAGAGCGAGAAGCUAACUUCUCGUGCUCGUCAUCGGAAGCCGAUGAUCUGGAAGGGAUUCCUGAGGGAACGUACUGCACGUGGAGGCCUAAACCGGAGGAAAAAUCUGCCGGAAGUUGUAAGAAGAGCAGCUCCACAGGCUCCUCAAAACGCUGGAAGUUUCGUGACCUCCUCUACCGGAGCAAUAGCGACGGUAAGGAUACUUUCGUCUUUUUGACUCCUUCGUUCAGAAAGAAGGAAAACAAAGCAGAGAAGACGACGAUUGAUAAUGCACCAAAAGUUACCGCAAAAUCAAAGGGAAUUCCAGUGGCUGAUGGUUACCCGGCGAUGCAUUACGUGAAGAACGGAGGCGGCGAGAAAAGGAAAACAUACUUACCGUACAGGCAAGAUCUAGUCGGAUUUUUCGCUAACACGAACGGAACGAGUCGGAAUGUAAUGCCAUUGUGAUGUGAAUACGUGAUUAAUUAAUUAAGCUCCUUAUUAAUUAUGAUUACGUAGUUGAUUUGCUGGUUUUGGAGUGAUCAUGUAAGGAUUUAGAUUGAUUAAAUUAGAGUGUAAAUGAUGAUUAGAUCAUGAAUCGAUUGUCUGUAAAUAUCUGGAUAAGUUUUGUCCUUAUCCCAUUUGAUGAAUUAUAAAUGAAAUUUUCGUACUAGUAUAAAUUAUUUCUUAAUUCCAUUUAA
This is an RNA transcript of Solanum verrucosum, 1222 nucleotides long. RefSeq lists it as uncharacterized. The record is from RefSeq and is a predicted model, not a curated record. The transcript has a single exon. Lineage: Eukaryota; Viridiplantae; Streptophyta; Magnoliopsida; Solanales; Solanaceae.